GGUGAACGCUGGCGGUGGGCCUAACACAUGCAAGUCGAACGGAAGGACGGUAAGAGCUUGCUCUUAAGGGUGGCGAGUGGCGGGCGGGUGAGGAAUAGAUCGGAAUCUAAUUUUUCGGGGGGGAUAACGUAGGGAAACUUAUGCUAAUACCGAAUACGAUCUACGGGAGAAAGCAGGGGAGCUACGGAGCUUGCGCGAUUGAAUGAGCCGGUGCCGGAUUAGCUAGUUGGCGGGGUAAAGGAACACCAAGGCGACGAUACGUAGCUGACCUGAGAGGAUGAUCGGCCACACUGGAACUGAGACACGGUCCAGACUCCUACGGGAGGCAGCAGUAGGGAAUCUUGCACAAUGGGCGCAAGCCUGACCCAGCCAUACCGCGUGAGUGAUGAAGGUCUUCGGGUCGUAAAGCCCUUUUGUUGGGAAAGAAAAGCUGCAUGUUAAUCCCCCGCUGUUCUGACGGUACCCAAAGAGUAAGCCCCGGCUAACUUCGUG
This 492-nucleotide ribosomal RNA is filed under the name uncultured bacterium. RNAcentral's name for it is "partial 16S ribosomal RNA". It matches the Rfam family "Bacterial small subunit ribosomal RNA", at positions 28 to 507 of the family's 1533-position model. The record is from RNAcentral.